Long non-coding RNA from Lates calcarifer (barramundi perch), 173 nucleotides. RefSeq lists it as uncharacterized. NCBI's taxonomy places the organism in Eukaryota, Metazoa, Chordata, Actinopteri, Centropomidae. The record is from RefSeq and is a predicted model, not a curated record. The transcript is spliced from 3 exons.
GUUCCCCACCGUGAAGAUGCUGACCGUGUGGGUGCUCGUUUGUGCCAUGAUGGCUCUGACCAGAGCUGAGGCUCUUCCAGAGGAAAAGGCUGAAAAGGACGAUCAAGCAGCAGAGAUCGACCUGGUUGCAAGAACCUUCCGAUACCGGUGUCCCCGUGGUUGGUCAAUCGUCG